GAUCUCGAAAGUAAAAGAUUUAAAUAGUUUGUUUAGUUUUUGUUUCAAUAAAAUUAAAUAGGACUUUUUGGGAGUGAAAUAUUAAUCGAUUUUACUAAUAUCUGGUAACUUUAGAAAUAAAUUUAGUUUAGAAUAUUAGGAGGUUCUUAGCUUUAAUAUAUUUUUGGACUUUAGGGGAUGAGCUCUAAAGGCAAAUUAUAAGAUUAAAAUUAAUAUAUUUCUUUUUAGGCUUAGAAUUAGCUAUGAGAUAGUGUUUUAAGAUAGGAGUGUUAAGAAUAUAAUUUUAUUUUCUUUUAUAAAGAUAAAGUUAUUUGGAAAAUUAAAUUUUUAAAGAAAAGAUGAUAAUAUUAGUAGAGAUUAAUUUAAAUUUUUCUUUGGAUAUUAUUUAAAUAAUUGUAAUAAAAGAAUUCGGCAAAUAUGAUUUCCGAAUGUUUAACAAAAACAUUUCCUCUUGGAAUAUGAGGUAAGGCCUGCUCACUGAGAAGUUGAAGAGCCGCAGUAUAUUGACUGUGCUAAGGUAGCAUAAUCAUUAGUCUUUUAAUUGGAGACUGGUAUGAAUGGCUAAACGAGAGAUCUACUUUUUUUAUUAUAUAAAUUGAAUUUAACUUUUUAGUGAAAAGGCUAAAAUUUUUCAGAAAGACGAGAAGACCCUAUAGAGUUUUAUAUGUUUAGAAUUUACAUUUAAUUAGAUUUAAAUGAAUGAAGGUUUGUAGCAUAAUUUGUUGGGGCGACAUUAAGAUAAGAAAAACUCUUUAUUUUUUUAACUUUUAUAAAAGAAUUGAGUGAUCCUCUAAAAGAGAUCAAAAGAAAAAAUUACCUUAGGGAUAACAGCGUAAUCUUUUUUGAGAGUUCUAAUCGACAAAAAGGUUUGCGACCU
This 877-nucleotide ribosomal RNA is filed under the name Pachylasma cf. bacum BKKC-2017. RNAcentral describes it as "partial 16S ribosomal RNA". The stretch from base 385 to 626 matches the Rfam family "Archaeal large subunit ribosomal RNA", at positions 1787 to 2143 of the family's 2987-position model. Lineage: Eukaryota; Metazoa; Arthropoda; Thecostraca; Balanomorpha; Pachylasmatidae. The record is from RNAcentral.